CCUCUUUUUCCUCAUGUUCCUAUCUACAAGAAACCCUUUCCUCAUAUUCCUAUCUACAAACCUCCUUUUCCUCAUAUUCCUAUCUUCAAAAAACCUUUCCCUCCACAUGAGCCUAUCUAUGAAAAACCUCUUCCUCCGCCUACACCGGUCUAUGAAAAACCAGUUCCUCCGCCUACACCUGUCUAUGAAAAACCUCUUCCUCCGCCUACACCGGUCUAUGAGAAACCUCUUCCCCCGCCUACACCUGUCUAUGAGCCUCCACCAACUCCUGUAUAUCAUAAACCUCUUCCCCCACCUACGCCUGUCUAUGAGAAACCUCUUCCUCCACCUACACCUGUAUAUCAUAAACCACAUCCACCACCGGCUCCGGUCAAAGGUUGUCCACCAAAGGUUGAACACCCAAUUCUACCACCUGCUCCAGUAUACAAACCUCCUCCAGUUCCAAAGCCACAACCACCACCGGUUCCGGUCAAGAAACCAUGUCCACCAAAGGUUGAACAUCCAAUUCUGC
RNAcentral lists this long non-coding RNA (511 nucleotides) under Trifolium pratense (red clover). RNAcentral describes it as "long non-coding RNA (TPRA_LNC001534)". The record is from RNAcentral. Lineage: Eukaryota; Viridiplantae; Streptophyta; Magnoliopsida; Fabales; Fabaceae.